CCUACGGGAGGCAGCAGUGAGGAAUAUUGGUCAAUGGACGAGAGUCUGAACCAGCCAAGUAGCGUGAAGGAUGACUGCCCUAUGGGUUGUAAACUUCUUUUAUAUGGGAAUAAAAUGUUCCACGUGUGGGAUUUUGUAUGUACCAUAUGAAUAAGGAUCGGCUAACUCCGUGCCAGCAGCCGCGGUAAUACGGAGGAUCCGAGCGUUAUCCGGAUUUAUUGGGUUUAAAGGGAGCGUAGGUGGAUGGUUAAGUCAGUUGUGAAAGUUUGCGGCUCAACCGUAAAAUUGCAGUUGAAACUGGGAGUCUUGAGUACAGCAGAGGUGGGCGGAAUUCGUGGUGUAGCGGUGAAAUGCUUAGAUAUCACGAAGAACUCCGAUUGCGAAGGCAGCUCACUGGACUGCAACUGACACUGAGGCUCGAAAGUGUGGGUAUCAAACAGGAUUAGAUACCCUGGUAGUC
This 460-nucleotide ribosomal RNA is filed under the name uncultured bacterium. RNAcentral describes it as "partial 16S ribosomal RNA". It matches the Rfam family "Bacterial small subunit ribosomal RNA", at positions 338 to 795 of the family's 1533-position model. The record is from RNAcentral.